RNAcentral lists this long non-coding RNA (411 nucleotides) under Ursus maritimus (polar bear). Its description in RNAcentral is "lncRNA (ENSUMAG00000000924.1)". Lineage: Eukaryota; Metazoa; Chordata; Mammalia; Carnivora; Ursidae. The record is from RNAcentral.
CUCGCCUCCUGCCUCCCCUGACCCCGCAGGGCUGACAGCCGUCAAGCUCAUCACCUCUGAGAUCAGAGAGACUGGGAAGUAGACACUAGCGCUGCUUUGGGAGAAGGUGAUGAAGUGGCUUCGGGGAGAGUUUCUGGCCGAGUCUCCGACAGUGGGGUGUGCAUUUGCACAGCUGCCUUCCCCAUCACAGUGAUGGCUUCCUUUGGUCCCUCUACAGGACACGCUGGGACUUCUGGAGCCAGGAGGGUCUCAGGGAAGGUAAAAUCUGCUGAGCCCUCCCAGGCUUGGCUUUCCUCAUGACCUGGAGCCAUCCCCAGGAGGGGUCUGCCUUCUCCCUGCAGGGCCGAGACCGCACAGGACUCCAGGGACCCCUCUCCAGGUCUGGGAGAAAUUUCUCACCACUCUUCUCCU